UAUUAUUUUUGUUGUUGCUAAUCUGCUUUCUUAUGGACACCUCUACCAGAUCCGCCGCCACUGCGAAGCCCAGCUCCUGAGUGCUUUAAAGGUGAGCAAGAAAGAAGAACAGGGGUGUGGUGCUUUGGUACUGAUAUUGCUUUGCAUCUGCGCUGACUAGAAAAUGUGNNNNNNNNNNNNNNNNNNNNNNNNNNNNNNNNNNNNNNNNNNNNNNNNNNNNNNNNNNNNNNNNNNNNNNNNNNNNNNNNNNNNNNNNNNNNNNNNNNNNNNNNNNNNNNNNNNNNNNNNNNNNNNNNNNNNNNNNNNNNNNNNNNNNNNNNNNNNNNNNNNNNNNNNNNNNNNNNNNNNNNNNNNNNNNNNNNNNNNNNNNNNNNNNNNNNNNNNNNNNNNNNNNNNNNNNNNNNNNNNNNNNNNNNNNNNNNNNNNNNNNNNNNNNNNNNNNNNNNNNNNNNNNNNNNNNNNNNNNNNNNNNNNNNNNNNNNNNNNNNNNNNNNNNNNNNNNNNNNNNNNNNNNNNNNNNNNNNNNNNNNNNNNNNNNUGGUUCAUGAUGAAUUCGCUCUGUAGAUGUACCAUUACUCAUAUUUCUAGCCUCUUGCAAGUCAUCAUUUUGUUAAUCACGGUUUUUUAUGAAAACUGAAACCUAUCACUUUCGGUCCAUAUGAAGCAAAAGAAAGUCUUGCAGUAUGUUGCAAUUAUAUUGUGAUGAUUGGCAGGGAAUAACUUAAGUCUUUGAAAUUUGGUACAUGUUGUCGUGCAUCGAUUCAGCCCCAUUGUGCCAUCAGAAUGACUUGGAUUUACAAUUUGUAAGCAGAACUCAUGCUUCUUACUACCCCUUCCAGCUCUAAAAUACAUAUAUGUUUUUUUUUCUUAUUUUGUACCGCUAAACUAUGUGUGCUAAACAAAGCAUGUCGUAUUAUUUUCAGAUAAAUGAUGAUGUAGUUAUGCGCGCCAUCCAAACAAUACACACGUGGUUCCCAAAUUGGAGCAUAUAUUUCCGUGAAGAUCUUGAAGUAUGGUCUUUGCUUUCUCUUCUCACAUCUGCCAUUUAGAAUUUAUUUCCCUAUUUCUAUCACAUAUGCACUGCUUUACCAAGAUCCCACUUUGAUUAACGUCGUUCUAUUAUACUGGAUGUUUAUUCGCCUGUCACAAUGGCAUAUCCAUGUUGUUUAUAUUGUUUGGUUUGUAUUUCAUGCACGGAGUGACUUGGUUGUUUGCCGCCGUCUCCACUUGGUUUCCUCCAUGUUUCGAUCUGGUACCUCCACUCCUCACCACCUUGCUUGCCGUGCGAGCGUGUGGGUGUGUGUAUAAGUGCAACGCUUGGUUUGGUCAGUCGCUGAUUCCUCCGAACAAUUGGACUAUUGGGUGCUCAAAGACUUUAGGGGGUAGGACGGAUCCAACAAUGCAAGGAAUCGAUCAGUGGAAGUGUGGCACUCCUCAGAGCUCAGGCCUUCCUGGCCGUUGGAUCAGUUUGUUGAUGCGUUCUCAGCCGUGCAAUCUUGCCUUCGGAUGACUUUGGUCGUCGGAUCAAAUCCGAUUACUGCUACAAUGAGUAGUGAUGGAGACAUAGAACCUGUCAUCAUUUUGUCGGACUAAUUAUGGAGUUACUUGUGCAAGUUACACCAUCAGCAAACACAUGAAGACCUGAAUGCUAUCAUUGCAAGUUGAACAUUUACAUGCUCCAAGUCAAUCUGUUAGGGAGAAAACAAAGGCGUGUGUGCCUAUUAGUAAUUUUUUGUUUUAUCAUAGUGGGCACCUUAUCUGUCUGUAACAUGUGCCCUGUGCAACUGCAAAAGUGUUGGACAAUAAAAAUUCUGUGUAACACAUGUUCCUAUACACUCUACCUACGGUUAGUAUAGAAACUAUGCAUAGUUGUUACUCUUUUGGUGGCCUUGUGUAAUAUAUAUGGCAAAUAAAUUAUCAUGAACUAUUGAGCCUUUCACUUUUUCUGUAACAUACUGAACCUUUGCACUAUUGCUUUCAUCGUAUAAUCGUAUGAGAUAUAAAAUGUUUCAUAUCAGGUUGGAUAUAGCUGAGGCGGGUGGGGUGUGGCAAGCCGCACUUCCUAUCUAGUUAUGUAUGACUGUGGAAUGAGUUUGAACCCUGCAAUGGACUUGGGCCAGGUUUGAGAUAUUUUCCACUGAGCUAUGCUCUUCUUUUAUCAUUCGACAGUUAACAUGGAUAUUUAUAUUGCAGCCCUGAUCAGAGUUGUUGUUCAUUAUAGUAAACGGCGGAAUCAUAUAUUCAUUAUUCAUAUCUGAUCUCUAUCAUCAUCUGACAGAUUGAAUGCUCCUUUAUACAAGGAAUUGGCUUCUUCAUAAACAAAGAACACGGAACGAAACAAACACUGAUGGAAUGGUUGUGAGCGAUAGCACAUGGGUAUACAAGAUCCCGAGCAUCGACACCGUCCCAAAGCAGUUCAAUGCCGAGGUGCUCAACACCGGAUACCACAAGAACCGCGUGCUCUCGUCGAAAGGUAGAGAGUGUGAUCUCUUUCCCUGGAGCAACAACAUGAAUAUAUUUCACUUGUUUGCAUGAAAAAUAUCAUUAGUUAUUAAGGUAAUCAAACCACGUUUGCCUCUGUCAGCUUCGGGGGAACCUGCCUUGGUUCUCGCAUCAUUCGUCCAUUGCGUGGUGAGAGAAGCCAUCCGAGCAGUGAGGAAGGAGUUUGGAACGCUCGUGAAAGAAAUGUGUCGUUGCAUGAUGCAAGAUUCUGGUGGUAUCAACCAGAAGGAGCGGUGUGGCGUUCUCAUGUUGCGCAGCAUCGAAUGGCAAAUCAUAGACGUGAUGUUUGAAUGUUUGUAAUGUCCAGUGUUGUGCUUGCACACUUUUCUAAUAACUAAAAACAAAGCUUGUGAUUUAUAUGUCCAUAAUAAUGUGAUUUUGUAAAUAAAUGUUUAUUAAAUUCUGCCAUGGAUUACCUUAUAAUUUUGAUCAGAAGUUUGGUAAUUAAAUUAAAGUGGAAUUGGUUAAGAAGGUAAUUAAAUUAAUUUGAUUGAUUAUCAUACAUAGGGGUAGUGGGAAGAAAUGUAAAAUGAGAACCUUACAUUCUUUUUAAGUAGUAUAGAGAAGAGAAGAUAGAGAUAGAGAUAAUUCCAGGUUGAGAUUUGUGUUUGUAAGUCCUGACUGAACCUAAAGGCGGUGCCAGCUCCCAUGCUAGCUGCUCGCAUGCCACUUGGAAUGACUCGCUCAAUCUAACACUUUCCCUUUGGCUCCCCUUCCCCCUCCCUCGCCGCCGGUCCUCGGCCCCUUGCCCUCCCUCUCCCCUCGCCGCCGCAGGGCAAAGGAAGAACACUGAAGUUGAAAUCAGUAAAGAAGUAAAGAGUACUUCUCAACAAAAAAAAAGUAAAGAGUGCCCAAAAGGGUACAAACUGAUAACUAGAUAAAGAGUACAGUGGCAAAAUGAAAUUAUCAAAGGUCAAAUAGCAAAUGAAACAAGCAAACAAAGUACCAAAUAAGAUAAGAAUUAUCACAGCCAUUCAAGACAAAGGAAGAACAGAAAAAGAAUGAACAGAAGACAAGAAAAAGAUCAGUUCAAAUUUCAGAUGUUGAAGGUCAUUUUUAUUCAAGUAUAUCCAUUGGGCGACAGGCGCAGAGUUGGCCUGUUUAUAAAAAGUUACUCCCUCCAUCCCACAAUAUAAGAUCGUUUCUCGAAAAACGAUUUUACAUUGUGGGACUGGGGGUAUUAAUGGUACUUCUGCAAAACAUGAGAUCAUAAGAGGUAUAUGCUGGCAUAUGACAAUAUGGUUGUUCUCCACAUAUUUUGGCUUCUAAAAGCAUUAAAAAGGUCAUCGACAAAAGGCUAACCAUCCAAAUUGUAAUCUUUGAGGCCAGUUAGCAGCUGCUGUGCUGUGCCAAAACAGUAGAAAAGAUAUUGAUAACUUCCGACUUCAAUGUGCAUCACUGCCAAAAGAACCAGUAAAAAUUUAAUGGUGUAGUAAAGGAGGACAUGCACAGACAGGAAAAGAGGGCAUGUUUGGAACACAGAAAUGGGAAAAUUUUGCUGCAGAUCAUGUUUCACACAUUUAAAAGGGAGUGAACACAUUCAACCACUACCAGUAGUAGGACCAGAGACCACCAGAGUGAGACGAGCUUAAGCAAAAGCCCGAAUGCACCGAAUUGGCACCCUCCAUGGACCACAAAAUCAUGAGAAGGCAAACUGAACACCACAUGAGGUGAUUUGUGCGUAGCUGCUCUUAAUGAGAUAGGCGAAUGCCAAACUACGACAAUUUAUCAAACUAAACAUAAGAAGGCGACAGGAAUAAAUCAACAAGGAGCCAUAUCAAUAUUCCGUGAGAAUGAAAAGAUCCCAAAGGAGGGGAGAGCACAUUUUUAUACCCUCAGCUCCUCGGUUUAUGUCAGCCAUGUUUGAUCACCAAAGCCCAAGCCAGCCAGCCAGCCAGAUAGAUGAUGCAAAGGGGUACCGAUUCCCACCCCAAACCACCAACCCCUGCUGUUUCAGCCAGAACCCUUCCUCAUUGCUGGGGCUUGGAAUGGCAAGCAUCGAAGGUUAAAGUUAACAAGGACAACACUAUCAAAUGUCAAUACAAGAAAAAAUGAUAAUGGAGGCAAAAAUAGGAACAAAAAAACUGAACAAUAGCAACAAUAAGAAACUGCUUUUAAAUUGGUUCAAUGAAAAUAUUUCACGCCAUCUUACCUUCGAGAAGGUCCACAAAAAGAACCAGAGCCAUAGGUAACGCCAGGUUCACUUUUCAAGCUACAGGCCCACAAUGUACAGAAGAGUACAUACGACUUAAUUUUCAACAUGAGAAAAACACACAAAAGCUGUUCAGGAAAAUCAAGCUGUUUUUUAGAAUACUCACUGAUCCAAUUACUAUAAUAAUCUGACAAAAGAAGUAUAAAACACAGGUAUCAUAACAAACACAUGGCGCACAAGGAAUAGUUCACAAAAUCAAGGAAAAUUUUGGAGUAUUGUUUGAAUGGCUCAGAUUUACCCCACCAUGAAUCACCGAAGUUGGAAAAUGCUUGAGAUAGUAAAACAACAACAAAGCCUUUCAGUCCCAAACAAGUUGGGAUAGGCUAGAUCUGAAACCCAUAAGAUACUGAAACCUACUCAUGGUUCUGGCACAUGGAGAACUUCCAUGCACCUCUGUCCAUGGCUAGUUCUUUGGUGAUAUUCCAGCAAAAAAAAACCUCUCCCUCUUUCUUCACCCAGCAACAAAUAGCCACAACUGGUAACAUGCUGCAGAGCAAGGCCUCCUAGUUUAACGACUAAUUGUCUAGCUGAGUAGAGUUGAACGGAACCAACCUAGGAGAUGUAAAAACAUCUCCAUCUCAGGAUAUGGUGAAAGAUCUCCAGCACCACAAGGGGCACAAAAAUCAUCAUAGCCAUACAGUAAAGAAUAGAACGCAUCAACACACAAUGGAAACAAAUAUGCUGUGUCCAGAAGUUAAUUCGGACUGAUGGUCGCAUUACUGCAAUGAAAGAAGUAACUGACAUUUCUUCACUUCGGACAAAAGGAGUCACUGCAGGCCAAAUAAAAACAGGAUAACAUAAAUUUUCGUGUUUGAACCAGAAGAAAAACAUAAACUUGCCAACCAGGUUAUCACAGCACAGCAUCAACCAAAUGGGAUCCUUUACCCCAAACAGAAAAGGGGAGGUGCCGCUCGCUUGUUUAUCCCAUGAAAAAUGGGGUUCCAAUGCUAAAUAAUCAGGUAUGUGACAUUGGACAGUGGCAUACUAUUCCACCAUGAAACCAAACACAUAUCAGUCCAACCUUUGGCAAAACGAAAACAAAACCAAAGAACACUGAAUAAAUUUGAAAAUAUAUAAGAUACAGAGAAGGGAGACAAUGGCUAAUAUACAGAUCCCAGGUGACCCAAGCAAAAGCACCAAGAGCACCUUCAAUCAUGAUUAGACAAAAUAUAAAAUCUUUUUAAACAAACGAAUGCAAUUGACUGGACACUCAUUUUAAACAACCUGCGAGGAAUCAGUUCCUCGCUAAUGAAUCAAAAUGUGGCAAGUUGACAGCAGCAGCUUAAAAAGAGACUAAUGACCAGCAAAAUAAAUACUACCGUGGUUGUUGCCAACGGGGAUCCCCCAUUCCGAAAGGUAACGGGACCAGCCCUUAGGUCCAAAGUUGUAUGCCACUGCUGUGGUGCUGAUAGAUUCACUACUGAAGCCCCGUUAUCGGACAUUGCAGGCUUAGCAUCUAUUUUUCGUAUAUCGCUCCACCACACCGAGAAGUCUGCUCUGACCAAAAUAAAACUAACGCAGUAUGAGCUUCAGUUCUAAGAAAACGCAGUUAUUGCUGAUCAUAACUUUGUCUUUGAAGAAGCAUCUGGCAGGACAAGACAAGCAAAACAACAGCUUCUCGUUAACCACAUGAAUAGAACAGCCAAUAGCUAAAAACAUUGGAGAAAAAAGGACAAUCCUGUGAUACACAAUCCCUCCGUCCCAUAAUAUAAGAGCGUUUUUUACACUAUAUGUAUUCCCUCCAUAUAUUCAAUGAGAGCUCAGGUGGAGAGGGAUUCAGAAUUAAGGCAGCAGAUUAGGGUGUAAUUGCAUGCGUACCGAUUCAAGCCAAAAAGCGGAACUGUAUCGUGAAAAAUCCAUCGCGGCAGCUCAGAUCUCAGGCCUCCUUUGGUUCAUAGGAUAGGAAUAUCAUAGGAAUAGGAGCCAUAUGAGUUUUCCCAUAGGAAUCAUAUCCUAUAUAAUUCCUACGAAAUUCCUGUAAACCAAAGGAGGCCUCACUGUGGACAGCCGACUUCCCAGGCAUGAGAGGCCACACAGGGUCCCAAUCUUCCACGAUGCCCAACCCAAAACCGCCAGCCCCUGCCGUUUCAGCUGCGGCAACUGCCCGAGGAGGGUCCCAAGCCAAUGCAUCAGUGCAGUGGGCCUGAACAGGAGGGGUGGCCCCAUGAACCAAAGCUCCAAGGCCACCACCAGGGCUAGGGAUGAUGUCUGGGAAGUUUUGUAAGGACAAUGAUGGCAAGCAUCAAUAAUGGUAGUUAAGGAGGACUAUUAUACCAAUGUCAACACAAGGAAAAGUAAUAAUUGGAUGGUAAAAAGAGGGGGGAGGGGGGGUGUUAACAGUAGCAUUAAAAAACUGCUUAAAAUUGGUUCACUAUAAAAAGACUUCACAUCCUCUCACCUUCCCUGAAGGCCAGAAGGUCCACAGACAGAAGGAACCAGAGCCAUAGAUAGGCGGGUUCACUUUUCAAGCUACAGCCCGGAGUGUAGAGUAUAAACGACUUAAUUUUCACCAUGGGAUCAUGACCAUUCACGAUUGCCAACAAGAUAUAGUUUAAAAAAGGCUGUUUAGGAAACCAAGCUGUUUUCUGGAGUAUAUUUCAGAAGUACCCAAUCCUAAAAUUUCUAUAAUCAGGCAGAAGUACAAGUGCGAAGUGUUAGACUCACGUACCAUAACAAAUACAUGAGGAAUCCUCUACUUCUCAAUAGCUACAACCCACUAGCUAAUUUUUAAUAACAUGCAGCCAUGCCACAACAGCACGUAUGGAUGUCAAUCACAAAUCAUAACUUACAUUUAUUUACAUCCAAUUCACGAUCUAAUUUUUCUAAGCAUGCAACCAUGCCACCUAAGGACCUAUGCAUGUCAAUUAUAAGUUGCACCUUUUUGCAUUAAUUUAAAAAUGAAACCGCGCCAUAUUACCAAGCGAUACAUGUCGAUGGCGUUGAUAAGUUAUAUUUUUUGAAUUGUAACAUGUCGACGUCGUUGAUAGGUUACAUUUGUUUAAUUGACUUUUAUAUUGUCAUAUACAGCAUACAUGGUGGAUACUUGAAGCCUAUCUACGUAGUUCAUGAUUUGCACUUUUUAUAGAAACAAAAUGGCAUGUUGCUACAAUGUAAGUCAAGAAUAUUAUUAUUAUCUUGCAUCAGUUUAGUUGUUUUCUAGCACCUAUUAAUACAAUUAUUUUAACGAGGUUCCCACGGCAACACACGGGGGCCAGGGCAUCAUCUAGUAGUUCACAAAAUCCGGGAAAUUUUUGGGGAGUACUACUUGAAUGAAUGGCUCAGAUUUACCUGCCCAUGAAUCACCUUAGUUGGACAAUGCUUCAGGUAGUACCAUAAGGAAUAAAACCUCUCUCUCCACUCAGCAACAAAUAGCCACAACUGGUAACUUGCUGUAGAGCAAGGCCUCCUAGUUUAAUGAUUAACUGUCUAACUGGGCAAAGUUGAAUGGAACCAACCUAGAGACGUGAAAGUGUCUCUAUCUCAGGAUAUGUUGAACGACACCAUGGGGCGGAAAUCAUCAUAGCCAUUCAGAAAAAGAAUAAUUAACAACAACACACAACAGAAACAAAUAUGCUGUGUUCAGAAGUUAAUAUGGAAUACUGCACUGAUGGCCGUAUUACCGGCAAUGAAAGAAGCAAUUGCCAUUUGUUCACUUCAGAUAAAACGAGUGACUGCAAGCCAAAAUAAAAACAGGAGAACAUGAACUUUCUUUUUUGCAACAGAAGAAAGCCAUCAACAGGGUUAGUGCUGCAGGUUACAGUGAACAUAAUGUAAACGAGAAAUAGAAUUGUAGAUUCAGAAUUUAAAAAAAUAUAAUUAAUAAAUUAAUAGAUCAAAUGUAAUUAUUACAAUUGCUGAUGCUUGCGGUGCCGUAGUGCAGCAAAUACAUGAAUGUAAGACCUUCCGCAAAAUAAAAUGCGGUUACGACUAAAUGGGAAUGCUGAGACAAAAAACAGAACAUGCAUAACAAAGGACAUACAGUUGCAAAUAAUAGCAUAGUUUGAUGAAAAGAUGUGAAAUCCUGUUCCUCUUUCUAGGCCCUUCACAACACAAUUUUUUUAUUUAUUCAAACAAAGUAGUCCUUAAUGAUGCAUCUUUAUUUCAAAGCAUUCUGCUGUAAGCAACCAAACUGUUAAGUGGAUUCUUAAUUCCAUGUAAUCUCUCUCCACACUGUUAAGUGGAUUCUUAAUUCCAAUGUUUAACAGUAAUUGUUAGCCGCUAAACCGGUUACUUGUUGUGACACAAGGACUCCUAGAGUCUUAGUUUAGCAUCUACUGAACCAAUUCAGGUAUUAGAUAGAAGCACCCACAUGGAAGCUAUAUCAUCGCAGCCAUUCAUGAACAUGACAUGAAGGAAACAGUAAUCUUGACAUCUGAACUUGCCCUAUAUGACCCUUAAGAUGAAAACCAGUAAAUAAAUGAGGAGUGCCCAAAAGUACAAACUGAUAACUAGAUAAAGAGAACAGUAGCAAAAUGAAAUUAUCAAAAGUCAAAUAGCAAUUGAAACAACCAAACUGAUACAGUACCAAAUAAGAUAAUUUCAAAAAAUACCCAAGGGCAGCAUUAUUAUCACAGCCAUUCAAGGAAAAAUAAUAACAGAAAAGAAAAGGCCCGGAUGCACCAAACUGGUUCCCUCAAUGGACAACAAAAUCAUGGCAAGGCAAACCGAACACCACGAGAGGUGAUUUGUGCGUAGUUGCUCCUAAUGAGAUGGCCCAAUGCUACAACCACGACAAUUCAUCAAUUUAAAACAUAAAAAUGCAAUAGGGAUAAAUAGAUGUGUAGAGGGCACAGUAUUAGUUGCAUUGAGAUUUGAGAGGGCUCAGAUUCGCCUUUGAUAGAUCAUACAACCUGGCUCCAUCUUCUUUCACCAGAUCAACCCCCACCACUGAGGUCGAGCUCCUCUGGUUAUCACUCAGCAGAAUGACCAUCCAAGACAGAGCCGUCAAUAUUCGGUGAGAAUGAUAAGGUGCCAAAAGAGGGGAGAGUAGGUUUUUGAAGCCCACAGCUCCUCGAAUAAUCGAAGACAAGUUUAUGUCAGCCAUGUUUUAUCAUCAUCGCCUCAAAUAGAUAGACAGAUAGAUGGAUGGAUGGGUCGAUGGAUAGAUGGAUGGAUCGAUGGAUACAGGGGGUUAGAUUGUACUGAAGUUUCGGACAUGGUUCAUUUGUGCGAACCUUUACAAAAAGGUCAAAACAGUGAUUUCGGCAGCAACAUGACCAUAGUAUCCAUACAUCCAUACAUACAUGCAUCCAUACAAACAUGCAUGCAUGCCAGAAGUUGGCUGUACUAUUAACCAUGCUCUCAGGAGUUGCUCAUGUCUGGCAUCAGCCGACCAGAGUACCAGACCUCCGGCUCGGACGACGCAUCAGACAACACUGUAUGGUUCCCAGCCCACGCCACAACCGAAUCCAAGGCAAUGGAAUGGCGGUGGCUGACGGCACCAUAGCGUUAGUCCACCCGGACCAUGGGUCAGCAAGUAGGCAAUGACAGCUUGACUGAUUUGUUGUAGGAUAUAUAUAUAUAUAUAUAUAUAUAUAUAUAUAUAUAUAUAUAUAUAUAUAGAGAGAGAGAGAGAGAGAGAGAGAGAGGAGGAG
Molecule: long non-coding RNA, 10308 nt
Filed under: Triticum aestivum (bread wheat)
Lineage: Eukaryota; Viridiplantae; Streptophyta; Magnoliopsida; Poales; Poaceae
Description: long non-coding RNA (TAES_LNC016983)
Source: RNAcentral